This 427-nucleotide ribosomal RNA is filed under the name uncultured bacterium. Its description in RNAcentral is "bacterial SSU rRNA". It matches the Rfam family "Bacterial small subunit ribosomal RNA", at positions 357 to 776 of the family's 1533-position model. The record is from RNAcentral.
GGGAAUCUUCGGCAAUGGGGGCAACCCUGACCGAGCAACGCCGCGGGAGUGAAGAAGGUUUUCGGAUCGUAAAGCUCUGUUGUAAGAGAAGAACGGGUAUGAGAGGGGAAAGUUCAUACNGUGACGGUAUCUUACCAGAAAGGGACGGCAAACUACGUUCCCGGAGCCGCGGUAAUACGUAGGUCCCGAGCGUUAUCCGGAUUUAUUGGGCGUAAAGCGAGCGCAGGCGGUUAGAUAAGUCUGAAGUUAAAGGCUGUGGCUUAACCAUAGUAUGCUUUGGAAACUGUUUAACUUGAGUGCAGAAGGGGAGAGUGGAAUUCCAUGUGUAGCGGUGGAAUGCGUAGAUAUAUGGAGGAACACCGGUGGCGAAAGCGGCUCUCUGGUCUGUAACUGACGCUGAGGCUCGAAAGCGUGGGUAGCGAACAGG